This 1332-nucleotide long non-coding RNA is filed under the name Olea europaea subsp. europaea. Lineage: Eukaryota; Viridiplantae; Streptophyta; Magnoliopsida; Lamiales; Oleaceae. The record is from RNAcentral.
AUUCAUUAAAGCAAAUUAUCCCCUACACUAAUAGUAGGAAUAAGUGAAGACAAUAACAGAGACUUAAUGGAAGAACUUGUUGACAUCAUCCAAAAUUUUACAGAAACAAUAUUACACGACAAGAUAAAACAUAACAUUUAUCCGCCUAAAUCUCCUUCUUCAUGGAAUAUUUGGAAACUGUGAGAAUUUCCACGUCAUAACCCAUUUGAUUACUAUCUAUUAAUCAAGUCAAACCCUUCCCUUCACAUUCCAUUCCGCACUACCUUUUGCAUUGCAUAUCGCCACUGUCAUCAAAUAUGUAGUUCUUCUUCAUCAUUGAGGCAAACUUGAGAUUCAAACAUGUUUGACAUAUCUUAUACUCCUUCGUUUAUCGCAAGGUUCACUCAGGAAGAGUUACCGGUAGAGGAUUGACCGCUUGAUUCUUCUUUCACAAACCAGUUCCAAAAUCCACAAUUGUCACUGCAGUAAAGAAAUAAUCUCCCUUUUAUUGCUAGUCUCCUUCUGCACCACAAAACACUUCUCGAAUCUAUGCUUGCAUAUUGGACAUUGACGUUUUCGUGGCAUUCUGGGAAAACAUGGUCCUUAGCUCUACAACUACAACAUAUUCCAUAAUUCCUUCCAUCCAUUCUACGACAUUAAUAAACCACGGAUUAGGUCAACUCGAACAAAAGAAAAUUGAGCUUAACAACUCAUACAAACACACGGAACAAAAUAAAAAUGUACAGUAGAUAAACACUGAGCAACCUCGAAAUUAAUCAUAUGACUUAUGCAGUAUAUAAACAUAAGCACUUUCUCCAAUAUGAUUGAAGAUCAUAAAUUUCAGAUUGAAGGGCAACAUGAUAAGCACGACAUUCUUAAUUUAUUUAUUUUCUAUUCACUUCAAUAUCAAGAGGGUAAAAUUCUACAACAAUUUUUGUUCCUCAAAUUUCAAUCAUAUAUGAAAAUGGCAUUUGGAGCAAUUUUGUUGACAAAGCAGUGAAAUUGGGUGAUUUCCAUAUAUACCUGUGCAAAGCAAAUGCGAAAAAAAUGACGAGAGAUAGAAAAACUUGUGGUGCUGAUUUAGCGGGUGGCCGAAAAUGGUGAAGCGGGUGGCAGUGCAACCAUGUCUAGAAGUGUAAUUGGAGCAGAGGUGAAACCUUUGGUUAAUUAUGAUCGGAGAAUCCGAACCAUCAAGAGGCGAAAAAAUCGAUGUACUUGUCGUCGUAGAGGUGGCGACACCUUUUGCUGAAUUGAGGCCGGAGAUGGUAAGUCCAGGUGAGAGUACUGUGUAGAUUUCAAUUUGGGAGAAGGAUUUCGUGGGUGUGGAUUUUCAGACUGAUCUGUCUUUUUAAU